GGGUGCGUAGCUCAGUGGUAGAGCGCGUCUCUGAUAAAGACGAGGUCGUAGGUUCGAUCCCUACCGCACCCA
Molecule: transfer RNA, 72 nt
Filed under: Pseudomonadota bacterium
Lineage: Bacteria; Pseudomonadati; Pseudomonadota
Also listed under: 1 other name
Description: tRNA-Ile
Rfam family: tRNA
About the family: Transfer RNA (tRNA) molecules are approximately 80 nucleotides in length. Their secondary structure includes four short double-helical elements and three loops (D, anti-codon, and T loops).
Source: RNAcentral